UUAACAGAUAGCUCAGUUGGUAGAGCACGAGACUCUAAAUCUUAGUGUCAUGGGUUCAAACCCCAUAUUGGGCAAAA
Molecule: non-coding RNA, 77 nt
Organism: Podarcis lilfordi (Lilford's wall lizard)
Lineage: Eukaryota; Metazoa; Chordata; Lepidosauria; Squamata; Lacertidae
Source: the annotation of a GenBank genome assembly